RNAcentral lists this long non-coding RNA (290 nucleotides) under Rattus norvegicus (Norway rat). RNAcentral's name for it is "long non-coding RNA NONRATT001101". The record is from RNAcentral. Lineage: Eukaryota; Metazoa; Chordata; Mammalia; Rodentia; Muridae.
CAAGCGAUGAUUCUUCAGAUGAGGAUAAACUGAAAAUUGCUGAUGAAGGAGGGAAAACAAAUUUGGAGACCAGACGACUGGGAGUGGUCAGUGUGCUGUCCUCUCACCAGCUUCAGGCUGGCCUUGUACUCUCGGUGACCCUCCUGCCUCAGAUUUGUACUCCGUGCCUAGCUGUCUUGUAGCUAGAGGAAACUACAGCGGAUAUGUCAUUGAGAAGCUCAGCUGAUAUGCUAGGUGGCACCCUCAUUCCAAAGCAAGUGUCAUUCUGCUGUCCAAACACUGGCUAGCAG